This 405-nucleotide ribosomal RNA is filed under the name uncultured bacterium. RNAcentral's name for it is "bacterial SSU rRNA". It matches the Rfam family "Bacterial small subunit ribosomal RNA", at positions 355 to 776 of the family's 1533-position model. The record is from RNAcentral.
CAAGGAAUUUUCCGCAAUGGACGAAAGUCUGACGGAGCAACGCCGCGUGAAGGAAUAAGGCCUUAGGGUCGUAAACUUCUUUUGUGAGGGAAGAAGAUCUGACGGUACCUCACGAAUAAUGCACGGCUAACUACGUGCCAGCAGCCGCGGUAAUACGUAGGUGCAAAACGUUGUCCGGAUUUACUGGGCGUAAAGGGCGCGCAGGCGGGUUAAAAAGUCAUCAAUUAAAGUCCAUGGCUUAACUGUGGGAUGUUGGUGAAACUGUUAAUCUUGAGGUUUCUAGAGGAGAGUGGAAUUAUCGGUGUAGUGGUGGAAUGCGUAGAUAUCGAUAGGAACACCAGUGGCGAAAGCGGCUCUCUGGGGAACACCUGACGCUGAGGCGCGAAAGCAUGGGUAGCAAACCGG